UACGUAGGGUGCGAGCGUUGUCCGGAAUUAUUGGGCGUAAAGAGCUCGUAGGUGGCGGGUCACGGUCGGGUGUGAAAGCCCGGGGCUUAACUCCGGGUCUGCAUUCGAUACGGGUCUGCUGGGGUCCGGCAGGGGAGACUGGAAUUCCUGGUGUAGCGGUGAAAUGCGCAGAUAUCAGGAGGAACACCGGUGGCGAAGGCGGGUCUCUGGGCCGGUACCGACGCUGAGGAGCGAAAGCGUGGGGAGCGAACAGG
RNAcentral lists this ribosomal RNA (254 nucleotides) under uncultured bacterium. Its description in RNAcentral is "partial 16S ribosomal RNA". It matches the Rfam family "Bacterial small subunit ribosomal RNA", at positions 524 to 776 of the family's 1533-position model. The record is from RNAcentral.